AUUGAACGCUGGCGGCAGGCUUAACACAUGCAAGUCGAGCGAGCGGCGGACGGGUGAGUAAUGUCUGGGAAACUGCCUGAUGGGGGGGGAUAACUACGGAAAACGGUGGCUAAUACCGCAUACCAUCGAAGUUUCCCAGAUGGGAUUAGCUAGUGGGGUGGGUAAUGGCUCACCUAGGCGACGAUCCCUAGCUGGUCUGAGAGGAUGACCAGCCAAACUGGAACUGAGACACGGUCCAGACUCCUACGGGAGGCAGCAGUGGGGAAUAUUGCACAAUGGGCGCAAGCCUGAUGCAGCCAUGCCGCGUGUGUGAAGAAGGCCUUCGGGUUGUAAAGCACUUUCAGCGAGGAGGCGUUACUCGCAGAAGAAGCACCGGCUAACUCCGUGCCAGCAGCCGCGGUAAUUC
Molecule: ribosomal RNA, 406 nt
Filed under: uncultured bacterium
Lineage: Bacteria
Description: partial 16S ribosomal RNA
Rfam family: Bacterial small subunit ribosomal RNA
Source: RNAcentral